GUGAUUGUAGCUCAGUUGGUAGAGCUCUGGAUUGUGAUUCCAGCGGUCGCGGGUUCGAGUCCCGUCCAUCACCCCA
This 76-nucleotide transfer RNA is filed under the name Vibrio chagasii. Its description in RNAcentral is "tRNA-His". It matches the Rfam family "tRNA". From Rfam's summary of the family: Transfer RNA (tRNA) molecules are approximately 80 nucleotides in length. Lineage: Bacteria; Pseudomonadati; Pseudomonadota; Gammaproteobacteria; Vibrionales; Vibrionaceae. The record is from RNAcentral.